CCUACGGGAGGCAGCAGUAGGGAAUCUUCCACAAUGGACGAAAGUCUGAUGGAGCAACGCCGCGUGAGUGAAGAAGGGUUUCGGCUCGUAAAGCUCUGUUGGUAGAGAAGAAAGAUAGAGGUAGUAACUGGCCUUUCUUUGACGUUAAUUACUUAGAAAGUACCGGCUAACUACGUGCCAGCAGCCGCGGUAAUACGUAGGUGGCAAGCGUUGUCCGGAUUUAUUGGGCGUAAAGCGAUUGCAGGCGGUUCAAUAAGUCUGAUGUGAAAGCCUUCGGCUCAACCGGAGAAUUGCAUCAGAAACUGUUGAACUUGAGUGAAGAAGAGGAGAGUGGAACUCCAUGUGUAGCGGUGGAAUGCGUAGAUAUCUGGAAGAACACCAGUGGCGAAGGCGGCCCGCUGGGCUGCAACUGACGCUGAGGCUCGAAAGCAUGGGUAGCGAACAGGAUUAGAUACCCCAGUAGUC
Molecule: ribosomal RNA, 465 nt
Filed under: uncultured bacterium
Lineage: Bacteria
Description: partial 16S ribosomal RNA
Rfam family: Bacterial small subunit ribosomal RNA
Source: RNAcentral